RNAcentral lists this ribosomal RNA (241 nucleotides) under uncultured bacterium. RNAcentral describes it as "partial 16S ribosomal RNA". It matches the Rfam family "Bacterial small subunit ribosomal RNA", at positions 524 to 765 of the family's 1533-position model. The record is from RNAcentral.
UACGUAGGGACCGAGCGUUGUCCGGAAUCAUUGGGCGUAAAGGGCUCGUAGGCGGUCUGUCACGUCGGGAGUGAAAACUCGGGGCUUAACCCCGAGCCUGCUUCCGAUACGGCAGACUAGAGGUAUGCAGGGGAGAAUGGAAUUCCUGGUGUAGCGGUGAAAUGCGUAGAUAUCUGGAGGAACACCGGUGGCGAAGGCGGCAUCCUGGACCGGCAUUGACGCUGAGGCGCGAAAGCCAGGG